Strigops habroptila (Kakapo) is the source of this 5756-nucleotide RNA transcript. It is a transcript of the gene named dihydrolipoamide S-acetyltransferase, with no coding region annotated. The transcript is spliced from 19 exons. NCBI's taxonomy places the organism in Eukaryota, Metazoa, Chordata, Aves, Psittaciformes, Psittacidae. The record is from RefSeq and is a predicted model, not a curated record.
GAGCCCGCCCCGCCGCGCUUUACGGUAGCGUCGCGCUGGGCUGUGCGGCGCGGUGCCCGCACGGAGGUCACCGAGCGGCGGCGGCGGUGCCGCGGCUCCGGCUCCAGCAUGUGGCGGGUGUUGGCACGACGAGUGGCCCGGGGCGCGGCGGCGGCUCCUCGGGGGCACUGCCGAGCGCUCAGUGCCGCUGGAGCCGGCCGCGGACCGGCGGUUGGGGCUGGAGCGCUGAACCGCGGCCCGGUGUGGGGCGGCCCCCUGCACCGGCCUGGCGGGCUCCUGCUGCCUCCUGCCUGGCCUCGGCUCAUCCCGUGCCGCUGCUGCAGCCUCCCGGCACACCAGAAGGUGGCCUUGCCAGCUCUGUCCCCCACGAUGCAGAUGGGCACCAUUACACGCUGGGAAAAGAAGGAGGGUGACAAGAUCAAUGAAGGGGACCUCAUAGCAGAGGUGGAGACAGACAAAGCAACAGUUGGCUUUGAGAGCUUGGAUGAAUGCUACAUGGCCAAGAUCCUGGUGCCAGAAGGAACAAGGGAUGUUCCUAUUGGGGCCAUAAUAUGUAUCACAGUAGAAAAGCCUGAAUAUAUUGAUGCCUUUAAAAAUUAUACUCUAGAUUCUGCAGCAUCUGCCCCCCCUGCAGCCUCAGUGCCUCCCCCUCAAGCUGCAGCUCCCUCACCACCACCUCAGCCUUCUCCUCAGGCUCCUGGCAGCUCUUACCCUCCUCAUAUGCAGGUCACUCUCCCUGCCCUGUCACCUACCAUGACAAUGGGCACAGUGCAGAGAUGGGAGAAGAAGGUCGGGGAGAAACUGAAUGAGGGAGACUUACUGGCAGAAAUUGAGACAGAUAAAGCCACAAUAGGCUUUGAAGUGCAGGAGGAAGGCUACUUGGCAAAAAUCUUAGUGCCUGAAGGAACAAGAGAUGUGCCAUUAGGAACAGCUCUCUGCAUCAUUGUGGAGAAAGAGUCUGAUAUUCCAGCCUUUGCUGACUACCAGCCCACCGCGGUAGCAGACAUCAAGGCACAAGCUCCUCCUGCCCCUCCUCCUCCUCCUCCAGUGGUGGCAACUCCUGCUGCUGCUCCGCCGCCUCAGCCUGCUGUUCCUUCCACUCCAGCAGUCCCUACAGCUGGGCUGCCUCCCCGGAAAGGAAGGGUCCUGGUUAGUCCCCUGGCAAAGAAAAUCGCAGCAGAGAAAGGAAUUGACCUUGCCCAAGUGAAAGGUACUGGACCAGAUGGUAGAAUCAUAAAGAAAGAUGUGGAGUCAUUUGUGCCAUCAAAGGUUGCUCCAGCUCCAGCAGUAGGGGCAGUUCCUGCAGCUGCUGCAGUUGCAGCAGCACCAGAGGGGACCUUCACAGAUAUCCCUAUCAGCAACAUUCGGAAGGUCAUUGCUCAGCGGCUGCUGCAGUCUAAACAAACAAUACCUCACUACUACCUUUCUAUUGAUAUAAAUAUGGGAGAAGUACUGGUGCUAAGGAAAGAACUCAAUCAGAUGGUCUCAGGUAACACUAAGCUUUCUGUCAACGACUUCAUAAUUAAAGCUUCUGCUCUGGCUUGCUUGAAGGUGCCUGAGGCAAAUUCUUCAUGGAUGGACACAGUUAUUAGACAAAAUCAUGUAGUGGAUGUUAGCGUUGCAGUUAAUACUCCUGCAGGGCUUAUAACCCCUAUUGUGUUUAAUGCACAUAUAAAGGGCCUGGCUUCCAUUAGUAAGGAUGUGGUUUCUUUGGCAGCCAAAGCCCGAGAAGGUAAACUUCAACCUCAUGAAUUCCAGGGUGGUACUUUCACAAUUUCCAAUUUAGGAAUGUAUGGGAUUAAGAAUUUCUGUGCUAUUAUCAAUCCACCUCAAGCCUGCAUCCUUGCAGUUGGUUCCUCAGAGAAAAGGCUGGUGCCAGCGGAUAACGAGAAAGGAUUUGAUGUGGCCAGUGUGAUGUCUGUUACACUUAGCUGUGACCAUCGUGUUGUAGACGGAGCAGUUGGAGCACAGUGGCUUGCUGAGUUCAAGAAUUUCCUUGAAAAGCCAGUAACCAUGCUGCUAUAAUUUAACCAUGCAAGCAAAGAUUUUCUGGAUCACAUUGUUUUGUUUUAAACAAGCUAUUUAGACAUGUCCUUUUCUACAUGCAUUUGAGGUAUUCACCCCUGAAAAUUAGAAGGUCAAUUUAAAGAAACCCAACUCAUCACCAUCUGAAAGUUAGGAUUCUCAUUCUGAGCUUUUUCCUUGUUCUGUCAUCUGUGAACAUGAACUGGACAGAAGAAUGCAGUCUUUAAGGAUCUGGCUUGGCAACCAGCACUGUGAUAAACAAUACCCGUUUUCCUUUGUUAAAUACCGCUGUAGUUGUUUCUUCAUCCACCAAUUCUGGCAGAUCUAGUUGUAAUUUGUAUUUUUCAGGGACUUCAAUGAUUAUGUCAUCCUAAACCAAGAAAAUCAAAAUACUUGAUUAACUAUUUGACAACGAAUUAGCAGUGAGCAUUUCUAGGAAUUGGAUACUAGACAGAAAACACAAGAUCGUUAUUUCUGCCAGCUUACCUUUGAAAUUCUCAGCUCGCACUCAGAAACAGAGCUAACCUUAGGCAAUUCAAUUCUGAGUUCAAUUUUGAGUGGUUUCUUGUUUGCAUCCUUUACAGUGAUCAUUUCAUAGACAGGGGUACUUAGCUUCUCUGGCAUUUCAGUACUAGCAAUUUCCUCUAUCAGAUGCCCUUUAGACUGUGUCACACUUUCUUCCUUCAGCAGCACCGAAGCAUUGCUGCAGUCCUCAGCUCCCAUCGUGUGUAGCAGCUCAUCGAGUGUUAGUUCUUUCAAGAAAAAGAAAUUUUUCACACAUACCACUCCGUUACAUAAGUGUAAUGUUAUGACACUUGGCAAAUACAUCAUGAAAGGUUUAACUGAUUUGUCAUUAGCAGUUUUGUCAGUUGAAGGCUGUUACUGGCAGUUUUCCUUUGCCAACAAUGACGUUUUAUUGCCAAUGGGUUAAAAGUUGUUGUUUUCAGACUACCUGUUACAGCAGCAAUCCCUUUUACUCAGGUUGGGGCAAAAGAAACUUAAGCACCUCAAAGAAUCAAAUGCUAGGAGAGUUCCCGUGCCUAGUGGAUAUAGGAAAAAUGGAAUAUGCUGUUCCAAUGUCACUACAGUUUCUCAACUGUAAAAUGCCAGGGAUGAAUGCAGAUAGGGCAGUAGGGUUAAACUAACAUCUGGUACGAAUAUUUCUACUUGGAAGCGUUUAUGCUUAAGGCAAGAACUGGGUUAGAGAUGAGGCUUGAGUAAAUUUGUUGGAGAAUCUAAUAGGUCCUCAAAGAAGAGUGACUGCCUAUCUCUACAUACCCUUCUUUGUGUUCUGACCGAGAUGUGGACUUGGCCUCUGCCUUCCUCUCAGACGUUGCUGCAUCAUUUCCAGGCUUCCCUUCAAUUUGAAUGACUCAAUGGUGUACAAAUGAGACAGAGUAAGGUUGCAUCGUUCCUCAACAAAUUUAAGUGUCAAAUGGAUCAAGUGCUCCAUUUUUUCUGGGUUUUCUUGUCCCCUCUGAAGAACAUCUGGGUUAUACGCAAUAUCUAUAAUGCUGUAAAGGUCUAUAAAAGUAAGUUAUGUGUCAGAAUUAUUGCUACGGCACCAUGUGUAGCAUGGUCUUUAUAGCGUGUUCUUUAUAGUCACUUGGUUUUAAGAGCAAAGGAGAGUAAUUCGUGGCUUCUGGGCAGAGCCGACUCUUAUCAACCUCAUCUAGAGAAACACCCCGAGCUAAGAGCUGGCCACGGCACAGCACCACCCCCUGUUACAGCGACAAUCUGCGUGUGCUCGCCACGCAAUGCAGCAGUGCAGGAAGAAACGCAUCCGGGGCGAGGCACAACUGUUCUGGGACGUACCUCCUUCGCCAGACACCUCUAACGGCCCCGCACUGACCGGUGUGGGGCCAGCGGGGCCCUUGGGCGCCGGGACCCUUCUCCAGCUGCAGACAUUGAUGAACAGCGGCCUCCCGACGCCACCCUGCAAGAGACCGACCCGCGGCUGAGCGCUCCGCCCCGCAGCACCCGGGCGGGAGGCCGAGCCCACGACCCCGCGCACCCACCGCGGGACGCGCCCGCAGGCACAGAUUCAGGAAGAGACAGAAAUGUGGAAAAUAAGGGAGUGGGAGAAGCAAACAGAAGAGACUUACUGGAAAAGGCAGAGCAGAAUGCUGUCAGACACCUCCAGCAGUCGGAUGCGCAGCGAUGGCUUUGAUGAGGAGGGCCACAGGGCUGACUGGAAAACAAAGAACUCGCAAUUUCUUGACCUAGUUGAAGAUGAUCUCCUCAGGGCCCGAUCCUGGAAUAAAAAGCUGUAUGAAUGUGAAGCCAACAUGCCAGACAGAUGGGGUCACAGUGGCUAUAAAGAGUUGUAUCCUGAAGAAUUCGAUACGGAUAGUGACCAGCAAGAAGGAGAUGAACAAAGUGCUAUUAAUGGGAAGAAGAAAUCUCAUCUAGGAAAGCAAACUGCCCGUGAAUCUCACAAACGGAAAAAAACCAAGAAAUCGCACAAGAAGAAGCAAAAAAAGCGCUCACACAAAAAGCGAAAGAAAAAGAAAAAGGAGCAGGGGAGAACAUCAUCAGAUUCUUCCCAGGAGAGUGAGUGCUCAGAAGAGGAGACUUCAAGCACCCGAAAAGGGAAACACAAGCGCAAGAAAAAGACCAGGAAAGUGCCUGCCAGGGAACCUACCUCCUCUUCUGGGCAGGAAAGUGACUUUUCUCAUGCAAGCAGCUCAACCACCAGCAGCUCUGAGGACAGUGAAUCUGAGGAGAAAAAAGAGAAACGGCCCCAAAAAAAGAGAAAGAAACGUCACAAUUCUGUGUCAGAGAGGCACAGUGAAGUACCAGAGAAGAGAAGCAAGAGGAAGAACUGGAAAGUGGCUGCUGAUGAAAAAUCAGAGGAUAGCUCGGAUGAGGACUGAUGAGUCUAGGCUGCAGAUCAAACAAUAAGGUAGAGGACAGAGGCAGGUAUUUAUCUUUCAGCACUGCCCCAUGGUACAAUUUGUUUCAACACUGUGGUUUAUAUACAUCCUGCCAGCCCACAGGGGAGAGAAUGAGCCUUGGCAGCCUGCAAUAGGUGCCCCCUUGCUUUUCAUUGACCUGACAUUCAGAAGACCAGGGGAGCAGUUGCAUGCCUCACAGGUUGGCUAGUCCUGACAACUUCGGAUUCUUUUUCUGUGAUCUCUGAUGCAAGAAAAUGUUACAGGUUAUCUGCAGGGGAAAAACAGGUGUGUUUACACCAGGGUUUUUUUGGUUUUUUGUUUUAUUUUUAUUAAGUUUUAACAGAUUGCUUUUUUGGGUUACCAAAUCAAUGUCCAAGACUUGCAGUAGGAGAAGGGGAGAGACAAAAAGUCUGGUAACAGAGGAAAUGUCACUGCAUUUAACCCUACAGUAGCUUUGUCUUCCCAUCUUCCAACAAAAGCAGACCUGUGUGUUGGCAUGCACACGGUCAGCUGGGCACAGAAGGGAGCAUGAGGGAAUACCCUCAUUCCAGCUGAAGGUGCAGUGACUCCUUCCAUAAUGAUGAAGAACAGACACCAGUGCAUUCGUGUGUUUUAGACUACUCUCCAAAUCCUGGCAUGGGCUGGCCAUUGUGUCUGCCUUCCCUUCAUUCUCUCUAGGGGGAUGCUGAAACCAUUUGUGCUGACAGAGGAGCCAUGGUGGGUGUUGUGUUCUGUCUCUGGUCUGCCCAGUGUAUUACUGGAGAAAUUGGUACUGGGCCGUUCUCCCUGCAGUUGAACAGCCAAGCCUUUUAACAGAAUAAAUAAAUCCAGACA